RNAcentral lists this ribosomal RNA (1164 nucleotides) under Triticum aestivum (bread wheat). Its description in RNAcentral is "partial small subunit ribosomal RNA". Lineage: Eukaryota; Viridiplantae; Streptophyta; Magnoliopsida; Poales; Poaceae. The record is from RNAcentral.
GUGACGGUCGCGUACAACAAGGAUCCCAGCCCCGUCAAGGUCAACCUCGGCGUCGGCGCCUACCGGACCGAGGAAGGGAAGCCCAUGGUGCUGAAUGUGGUCAGGCGCGCCGAGCAGAUGCUGAUCCAAAACGAGUCACGUGUUAAGGAGUACUUGCCGAUCACUGGAUUGGCAGAUUUCAACAAGUUGAGUGCUAAGCUUAUCUUCGGUGCUGACAGUCCUGCUAUUCAGGAGAAUAGGGUGGCUACUGUGCAGUGCUUAUCAGGAACUGGUUCCCUACGAGUGGGAGGUGAAUUUCUUGCAAGGCACUAUCAUGAACGCACAAUCUACAUUCCCCAGCCAACCUGGGGGAAUCACCCAAAAGUCUUCACUUUAGCUGGCCUGACUGCUAGGAGUUACCGGUACUAUGAUCCUGCAACUUGUGGACUGGAUUUCCAAGGACUCUUGGAAGACCUCAGUUCAGCUCCCUCAGGCGCAAUUGUACUGCUUCAUGCAUGUGCCCACAACCCUACUGGUGUCGACCCAACCUUGGAACAGUGGGAACAGAUCAGGCAGCUUAUGAGAUCAAAAGCAUUGCUGCCAUUCUUUGACAGUGCUUAUCAAGGAUUUGCAAGCGGAAGCCUUGACAAAGAUGCCCAAUCAGUGCGCAUGUUCGUCGCUGAUGGUGGUGAAUUGCUCAUGGCUCAAAGCUACGCCAAGAACAUGGGAUUGUAUGGAGAGCGUGUUGGUGCUUUAAGCAUCGUUUGUGGGAGUGCUGAUAUAGCUGUUAAGGUUGAAAGUCAACUUAAGCUUGUAAUUAGGCCUAUGUAUUCGAACCCUCCUCUUCAUGGUGCUUCUAUCGUGGCUACCAUACUUAAGGACAGUGCUAUGUUCGACGAAUGGACUCUGGAGCUGAAGGCCAUGGCUGAUAGGAUAAUUAGCAUGAGGGAGCAGCUUUUUAAUGCGCUGAAAAUCAGGGAAACACCUGGAGAUUGGUCCCACAUCAUUAAGCAGAUUGGGAUGUUUACUUUCACUGGGCUCAACAGUGAUCAAGUAGCCUUCAUGAGGCAAGAAUAUCACAUUUACAUGACAUCUGAUGGGAGGAUCAGCAUGGCCGGUUUGAGCUCCAGAACUGUACCCCAUCUUGCAGAUGCCAUACAUGCCGCAGUAACAAAACUGAAGUGA